AAAACUGUUUGCAGGGAUAAUCCAACAGUAGAGAAGUGAAAUCUGUGAGUUUAUUUGAAAUCUUUUGGGCAACUCUUUGCAGCAACAGUGCCAUCUUCCUACAUUUUGCUUAGAUUAAUUUUAAGAUUUAUUUUUCUUAUUUGGAACACAUCUGUAGGAAGCAAGGAGCAUGCAAGCUAGGAUAUAGCAAAUCUGAGAGUUAGCAUUUGUGACAGAUAAUACACAUGUGCAUUAUACACAAGACAAAAAUAAAAUUUUAUUCUCAAUUUCUAGAUAUUAGAUAACUAGAUGGUGGUAGUUCCAUUCUAGUUAUUAGAAAACUAUUUAGGAUUGGAAGAACUGAGGUGGUCAAAUGAAAAAAGUGAAUUAGUUGCAUUCUUACCAACUGUGGAGCAAAGAAACAUGUUUCUCAUGGCCCAAGGCAGGCUUGAAUGAGAAGGAAAUCUGGGGAUCUACUUAGAUAGUGCCAAGAAAGUGCCAGAGAUGGAUGCCCUGGAGAUGAGCAAAGAGAGGUCCUGAAGUCACAGGACUAAAUUCCAGCACAGUGGAAUAAAACAGAAAAAAGAAAGGAGUACCUACAUAAGAGAAUCAGUAGGUUUGGGAGAGUGAUAAAAUCUUAACUUUUCUAUUUUAACAGUGAAAUCUUUUGCAGAGCAAAAAUUUUGAUUUUUGAAGUCCAAUUUAUCAAGUAUUUAUUUUCUAGAUCAUGCUUUCAGUAUUAUAUCUAAGAAUUAUUUGCCUACCCCAGGUCAUGAAUAUUCCUUCUCAUGUUUUCUUCUAAAUGCUUUAUGGUUUUCCUUUUUUUUUUUUUUUUUUCUUUUUUUUUGAGACGGUGUCUCGCUCUGUCGCCCAGGCUGGAGUGCAAUGGUGCAAUCUCGGCUUCGUGAUCCACCUGCCUCAGCCUCCCAAAGUGUUGGGAUUACAGGCGUGAGCCGUGCCCAGCCUGGUUUUACAUUUUACACUUAGAACUAUGAUCCAUUUCUAUUUACUUUUUUAAAAAGGCAUGAGUUUAGGUGGAGGUUAAUUUUUUUUACAUGUCUAUAUCCAAUUGUUCCAACACCAUUUGUUGAAAAGAUGAUCCUUUUUCCAUUGAAUUGCCUUUGCAAUUUCAUAAAAAAUCAAUUGGCCAUAUUUGAAUGAAGCCAAUUUCUGGACUCAAUUCAGUACCACUGAUCUACAUGUCUAUCCCUUCACCAAUGCCACACUAUAUUGAUUACUAUAGCUUUGUAGUAAAUCUUAACAUCAGUGUAAGUCAUCCAACUUUCUCCUUUUUUCAAAAUUGUUUUGGCUAUUCUGGUUUUUUGUUUGUUUGUUUUGUCUUCCCAUAUACAUUUUAGAAUUAUUAUAUAUAUAUUGAGAAUAUGUCUAUUUCUUCUUUCAGUUUUGUCUAUUUUUGCUUCACGUAUUUUUAAAGUCUGUUAGGUGCACACACAUUUAGAUUUGUAUGUCUUCUUGGUGAAUUUACUUUUAUAUUAUUACAUGAUGUCUCAGUUUAUCCCUGGUGAUUUUCCUUGCUCUGAAGUCUACUUUGAUUAUUAAUAUAUUUAUACCAACUUUAUUUUUAUUCAUGUUUAAAAUGUGUCUUUUCCCAUUCUUUUUCAUUUAACCUUCCUAUAUCUUUAUACUUGAAGUAUGUUUCUGGUAGACAGCAUAUAGUCGAGUGAUACCUUUUUACUCAUUCUGAUUAUCUCUAUUUUAACUAGUGUGCUUACACCAUUUACAUUUAAUGUUAAUAUUGAUAUGUUUGGGUUUAGGGCUACUAUUUAAUUAUCUGUUUACUCAUCACUCCUUAUGUUUUUCCUUCCUCUGUUACCCUUUUUUUCUUCUUCUUUUGGGUUACUUGAGCAUUUGUUAGUAUUCUAUUUUAGUUUCUUAUUAUUUCACUUUGGGCUGUGUGUGUGUGUGUGUGUGUGUGUGUGUGUAUGUGUGUGGUGAUGACUGUUACAGUAAACAAACUUAAACUUUCUCAGCAUGCUUUGAAUCAAUAUUUGCCACUUUAAAUGUGAUGUAGAAAUUCUUCCAAGAUCCCUUUACCUUCCAUCCUUCAUGUUGUAUUUGCCUUAUAUAUUACUUCUAUAUGCAUUGAAAACCCAUCAGAUAAUGUUAUAGUUUUGGUUUUCAAUGAUCAAAUAUACUUCAAACACCUUAAAAGGAGAAGAACAGUCUAUUAUAUUUGCCCAAAUAUUUGCUAUUUAUAUUGCUCUUCCUUCAUUCCUCAUGCUCCAUAUUUCCUUCUGGUGUCAUUUCCUAUCUGAAAAUUUUCAUUUCGUAAUUCUUUUAGAUCAGGACUGUUUGUAGUGAACUGUAUUAGUUUUCUUUCAUCUGAGAAUGUCUUUAUUUAACCUUCAUUCCUAAAGGAUAUUUUCACCAGGUAUAAAAUUCAAGAUUAACAAUUCUUUUCUUUCAGCACUUAAAAAUGUUGUUCCACUAUCUUUUUCAUGAACAGUUUCUGAUAAGAAAACCGUAGCCAGUUCAAUAAUACAUCAUUUUUCUCUUGCUGCUUUCAUAGUAUUUUGUCUUUAGCUCAUAAUGAUUUAAUUGUGAUAGGUCUAGACAUGGAUUUAUUUGGUUUUGUCACAUUUAGGAUUCACUAGACUUCUUGAGUCUGUAGGUAUAUGUCUUUUACCAAAUUUGAGAAGUUUUUAGCUAUUAUUUAUUGAAAUGAUGUUUCUUCCCCCAUGUUCUUUCUCCAUUCAUUCCGAGUCUCUAAUCACAUGAACAUUAGACUUUUGAGUAUUAUCCCACACAUCUUCCUUCAUUUUUAAAAUAUUUUUUAUGUCUUUUCUGAUUGGAUAAUUUCUAUUACUAUAUCUUCACAUUCGCUGACUCCUCUGUCAAUUCUAUUCUGCUAUUACACCCAUUCUGUAAUUUUUAAUUUUAGUUAUUGUAUUUUUCAGUUCUAAAUUUUCUCUUUGGUUAUUCUUUAUAUUAUCUAUUUCUUUGUUAGGACUUUUUAUCUCUUCAUUAUUUUCAAGAGUGUAUGCCCUUACUUAUUUGUACAUAUUUUAUCAGAUAAUUUCAACAUUUGUGAUACAUUAGCAGUGGCAUCUGUUGAUUCUUAUGCAGGUUGAGAUUUUACUGUUGUUCAGUUCUGUUCCAUGUGUGUGUCAUUGAAUGACCAGUGUGGGACCUAGACUGUGACCUACCCCUUAGUUCAGUUCUCAAAGUAUUUAGUAUCCUGUUUAGGAUCCAUGCAUGCACAAAUCCAGGGUGAGCUCAAGAGUUCACAGACAACUUUAUGAGUUUUCUUCCCAGGCUCCCUGCUCUCCAUGAUCUCCCUAGUACUUCUGGUGCCCUGGGGCUCCCUUUUCAAUGUUCUAAUCAGGACACUGAACUUCUCUCCUCCCCUCCACAUUUUCUUUUUCUUUUUCUUUUUUUUUUUUUUUUUUUUUUUUGAGACGGAGUCUCACUCUGUCACCCAGGCUGGAGUGCAGUGGCUCACUGCAACCUCCACCUCCUGGGUUCAAGCGAUUCUCCUGCCUCAGCCUCCCUAGUAGCUGGGAUACAUGUGUGUACCAUCAUGCCCAGCUAAUUUUUUUGCAUUUUUAGUAGAGACGGGGUUUCACCAUGUUGGCCAGGCUGGUCUCAAACUCCUAACCUCAAAUGACCCGCCCACCUCAGCCUCCCAAAGUGCUGGGAUUACAGGCAUAAGCCACCAUACCUCCCUCUCCUCCACAUUUUCUAGUGGCCCCUCUCUGGAGCCAACAGCAAGAUAACAAGUGGAGGGAAAGCAAGAGGGUUUCACUCCACAUUUUUGAAACCACAGCUUCUCCCAUCAGAGAGAAAUGUUCCCAUGCCCCAGUUUUAGGAGGAACCCAGUAGCUGCUGUUCUUGCUGUCACUGCCCCUAUCACAGCACAAUUGCCUAAAGACUGGCAGAAGAGAAUGGAGUAGAGACUUAAAGGAGAAAGAGUAGGAGAAAAAGAAGAGGAGGGAAAAAAAGAAGAGGAGGAGCUGGGGGAGAGAAGGAGGAAGAAAGGGGAUUUCCAACUCUUUCUCUAAAUAUUAGCUAAUCUUUUCCUGGAAGAAUUAGAGGUCUCCUCCUGGAGCUCUCUGUGUCUAUGUUCCCUUUUUGGUUUGGGUUGCCUUAAGUUCAGGUUAGGGGUUACCUAGAAACAAGAAAUGGUUAUCUUAUCACCUAUUUGGUGGUACUUUGAAUUCUGUACCACUUUCUGCUUACUAUUACUUUUCAAAUAGGAGUUGAAAAUACUUUUCAAGAAGCACAUUCUAAUUGAACCAGAACCGUAUCUUAUCUGGAACCAUAAACAUAAUAGACAGUUGUAUAAAUUGUGUUUGCAUUUUCAAAUAAUUCAAAUUGCAGUAUGGCUUCCAAUAAACAAAUAUUUGUUUUCUUCAUUUGCCUAACUAUAAAUAACCUAGUUCCACUACAUGUGAAGUUUAUUAUCCAUUGACCCACCAGAGGUACUGCUGUGUCUUUAGAAAUCAGAAGCAUUCUUGGCCGGGCGCAGUGGCUCACGCCUGUAAUCCCAGCACUUUGGGAGGCUGAGGCAGGAGAAUGGUGUGAACCCGGGAGGUGGAGCUUGCAGUGAACCCAGAUG
This 4558-nucleotide long non-coding RNA is filed under the name Homo sapiens (human). Its description in RNAcentral is "non-protein coding lnc-CABLES1-5:1". Lineage: Eukaryota; Metazoa; Chordata; Mammalia; Primates; Hominidae. The record is from RNAcentral.